UAUAUCAAUUUGUACAGCAUGCAAUGAAACCGCAAACCUAAUCAAUUCGAGGUAUACUAACUUGACAUGCUUGUUUGAGGAAGCUGCUGGGGAUGGCUUGGAAGAGUGCCAAAAAAAAAGAUCAGAUGAAGGCAUCGAAGCAUACUGUCUGGAUGAGAGUUGCUAUUUUGUUGAGGAAGCCUACAACAAGUGCGGGUUUGCUUGGCAUGAGUGUAAUCCUGUUCGAGAGACUUGCAAUAAGCAUUUCAAAUCUAGUUCUGUGCUGCAUCAACAAUGCAGCAGUGGAGGAAAACCAGUCACUACAAUAACAGUUGUCAUGAUUCUGGUCAUUUGCUCCGUGCUCAUGAUUUAAGGAUAUGCAUGCCCAAACUUUGGAAGAACAGUUCAAAAUUACUGUAACAAUAAUUAUAUCUUAGCAUUGUGCAUGCAUCAAGAACUAUAGUAUAGACAAU
This is a long non-coding RNA of Halichondria panicea, 452 nucleotides long. RefSeq lists it as uncharacterized. The transcript has 3 exons. The record is from RefSeq and is a predicted model, not a curated record. NCBI's taxonomy places the organism in Eukaryota, Metazoa, Porifera, Demospongiae, Suberitida, Halichondriidae.